CAUCUGCUGAUGGACAUUUAGGUUGCUUCCAUGUCUUGGCUGUUGUGAAUAUUGCUGCUGUGAACAUAUGGGUGCAUGCGUCUUUCUCUGUCUGACUUUCUCUGGCAGCAGAGAGGAGCCUGUGAUUUGGGGGGGCGGCAAUUAGCCUCAGGCUUCAGGUUGCCAGUGUAACUACAUGUGUUGUGGGCAAUACUUUAAGAGGAGAGAAAGGCUCUGGAUAAUCUGGCAGGUGGCGUCUGAGUCUGGCAGGUGCAGGAAUCCAUGGCUGGGGCAGGAGCUGGGUAGGGAUCUCUUGUGGGAAAGGAACAUCAAAAUGGGGUCAGUAUUGCCAAGAGAGCUUGUUAAAGUGGAGCUUGGAGGCCCUUAAGGGAGUGCAACUUGGGCUUGUUUCAGCCUGGAUGGACUCUUACCUUUUGACCUGAUGAAGUUAUGCAGAACACCUGCCAGAAACGUACCCUACCCUAACUCCUGACAGUCCAUCCACUUAUAGAACCCCCUACCCUAAAACAACUUGUGAUUUCCUUAAGGACAAAUAUCUUCUGGUUCAUGUCAGAAUCAAAUCACAGUUCUCACCAGGCAACUUAUAACAACCCUGUGGCUUUUUGUCUUUGUCAGCCCUGACUCUUUCUUAUAUCUGUCUCCCCAAUAGCAAUUCUUAAGAAUCCAAGUAAACUCAUUUCAGGCACCUGCAUUUUUAUUAUUAUUAUUUUGGUUGACACUCAGGACCCUCCCACACAAGAGCACCUGCAUUUCUUGGGAAGGAGUGCAGGGCCAGCUCUCAGAGACUUGCUAACCUGGAUUUGGACCUGAUAUUGAUAUUGAGGGCCCCUCAGGCCUCCCUUAAAACCAGUUGGAGGCAGGUUGGUAGGAGAUGCAGUUUUGCCACCACAAGAUUUUUCCUGCAUCUAUUUCUCCUAUAGAGAGUUGACAUGUUGCUGAGUCUUUUUUUAAUUAAUUUUUUUCUUUUCCGUUAUGGUUUACUACAGGAUAUCAAAUAUAGUUCCCUGUGCUAUUCAGUAGGAUCCUAUUCUCUAUUCAUCUUAUACAUAAUAGUUUGCAUCUGCUAAUCCCAAAUGUCACUCUCCUGCCCCCACCCCGGCAACCACAAGUCUAUUUUCCAUGUGAGUCCAUUUCUGUUUUGUAGAUAAGUUCAUUUGUGUCAUAUUUUAGAUUCCAUGUAUAAGGGAUAUCAUCUGAUAUUUAUUUUUCUCUUUCUGGCUUAACUUAGCAUGAUAAUCUCUAAGUCUAUCCAUGUUGCUACAAAUGGCAUGAUUUCAUUCUUUUUUCUGGCUGAAUAAUAUUCCAUUGUGUACGUAUACCACAUUUUCUUUAUCCUUUCAUCUGUCCAUGGACAUUUAGGUUGUUUCCAUGUCUUGGCUAUUAUAAAUAGUGCUGCUAUGAACAUAAAGGGGCAUAUAUCUUUGGAAUUCUAGUUUUAUCCUGAUUUAUGCCCAGGAGUGGGAUUGCUAGAUCACAUAGCUGCCAAGUCUUGGUUAUUAUCCUGGACUUGGGAAUUCAGGGGGUGGAUUCAUCAAUGAAUAGAUAAAGGAGAGAGAAAAAAAUUCCUAAUACAUAGAGGGUAUAUCAGCUUUCUGGAUGGAAGUUGAGGGGAAAACUUAAUGUAAUUGGCACAAGUCAUAAGGCCAAGAAAUUCAACUCAAAUGAAAAGUUCAGUCCCUUGAACACGGAUUCUAGGAAACCUGUUGUUCAUUAGCUGGAGGAGAAGCACAAUUGCAGCCAGUAAAACAUCUUCAGGAAUGUAUGUCAGAUGGAAAAUGUUGGGAAUAGAUGAGUUGGUUCUUGACAAUAAGGAAGUGACCUAGAAGGAUGUUUGUGCAGAGUAGGGAUAACCAAUGCCACAGGGCUGGGGAAAGUUUAAUUUCAGGAAGCAGUAUUUAGAAAAAAGAAAUCAAAUGGUUCUCUGGCAUCCAGAUGAAAGUACCAGUUUCACCAUCAGCACUUGAGGAGGACUAUGCUGCUAUAGAAAUAAGUGAGGGGACGGAGUCAGAAGCAGGUGGUUUAACUUACUGGUGGUAAAAGAUAAACAAAGGCACAUUAAACAUUUUAAGAGUUUGAGAAGUUCCUGUCAUGGCUCAGUGGUUAACAAAUCCGACUAGGAACCAUGAGGUUGUGGGUUUGAUCCCUGGCCUUAUUCAGUGGGUUAAGGAUCCGGUGUUGCCGUGAGCUGUGGUGUAGGUCACAGACAUGGCUCAGAUCCCAGGUUGCUGUGGCUCUGGUGUAGGCCGGUGACUACUGCUCCGAUUAGACCCCUAGCCUGGGAACCUCCAUAUGCCACAGGAGUGGCCCAAGAAAUGGCAAAAAGAUUUAAAAAAAAAAAAAAAAGAGUUUAUUUGAGCAAAACAUGGUUCCAGUUGAGCUGCACCAAACCAGAAAUGGUUAGGAACACGCCAUCAACAGGAGCUGGGGAGAGACUUUUAUAUAGAAAGGACUCAGAAGCACAGUAAGGAAAUUGACUGUAGCUUAAAGCCCAGUUGGCUGCUUGUGAUUGGUUGUCCUUAGGUUUUGAUUUCAUAACCUCGAGGCAUUUAUGAAAGUAGGUUUUGGUUUGCUACCAAAGGCCACCCAGGGCAGGAGAGCCACCUCAGUCAAAUGGGCCUCCUUGUUUAAUGAACUUAACAGAUGUUAAGUGUUUAGAGCACGGUUCUGAAGUGUGGCUGCCUGAGUUUGGGUCUCCUUUUGCGAUUUGCUGUGUCACCUUGAACAAGGUAUAUAACCGUGUCGGGAUUAUGGGCCUUAAAUUUGGGGUACCACACUCACAAGUUGGGCUGCAGAGAUCUUAAAUGAAUAGGACAGUCACCCCAAAGGAGAAGGAUCCCUGUAGGAAGGACCUGAGCCUGGAGGUACCACCACAGAAUAGUCCUAAUUUUUCCAGAAGCUGAAAAAACUUUCAAAUGCCUCUCUCAAAAUGCAAGAAAACCAAGUAAAAAAAAAUUGUUUUUCCGUAUAAUAUAUAAGAUCAAAAAAGAGACUGGACGUAAAGUAUUAGGUAGUGGUCAUGGCAAUGCUUCUGGGAGGCAGGUGGUGGGUAGGUGUGACAUUCAGAGGGAGAACUUGACUUUAGCUCUCUAAGGAGGGUAGGAAUUGGCCUCUUAGGGCCCUUCCCCCUACCAUAUCCACCAACUUCCUCCAUCAACCACUGUGGGGGAGACGCCUUCCUGUAUACACAGGUGCUAACAGAGCCGUAGUUGAUGGGAGAGCAGGGGACCAUGGCAGAAGCCCUUUCCCAGCCAGUGGCUUAGUUGGUGUCUGUUGUUGCAGCAGGAGGGCUGGAGGUGGCUAUGAAGGAGCCUGAAGGCUUAAUAAGAGAGCCAGGAUGGAGCCACAGGCAGGAUGCAGUAUUCCCCAGGAGUAGACCUGAAAUCCAGAUGCCUGGGAAGUUCUGGACUUGGAAAAUGGCUGGGGAUUUUGAUAUUUCCCUCCCUUCUGCCUGGGGAGUUCUACUGCAGGAUUAAUUUCCUACCCAAAAGCAGCAACAGAGUCCUCUUACCCAGCUGAGACACAGGGAGGAUGGGGACAGAAGCUUCUCUCUCGGUCCACAGCCCCCUCAGUCUAGUCCUGCCGGGGGUGGAGAAAGUGGGGGUGAUACCAUCAAAUAGUGAUUAUCAUAGGAGAGUUGUGAUGCCCAUGGAAUCUUCCUUCUUUUCCCCCAAAUGAUGUAUAUAAUCCACAAUUGAAAAGGAAAAGCACAAAGGACUCCCCACAUUUUAAGAAAGGAUAGGUCUGUAGGCCAGCCGUAGUCCUGAGAGCUGUGGUUCCCAAAGUGUGUUCCCCACGCCAGCAGCAUCAGCAUCAGCAUCAGAAUCAGCAUCAGCAUCAGCAUCAGCAUCAGCAUCCCCUAGGAUCCUGUUAGAAAUGCGCAUUCUUGCCCCGCCCCUUCACAAGUGCUGAAUGGGACACUGUGGGGGCAGGACCAGCCAUCAGUGGUUUUAACAAGCCCUCUGGGUGACUCUGAUGCCCAUCAACAUUUGAGAAGCACACCCUGGAGCUGGCUGAGAGACAGAUGCCGUUUUGUCAGAAUGGGCACAACCCUUUGUCUUCAGUGACUUAAGGCUGGCAGGACACUGCCCUUGGGCACUAACAAAGGCAACAUUCCCAGGGUGAACCCAUCCCCCCUUAAAGUGCCUGCCUGAGAAAUUGCACCCAUGCCAAAACAAUUUACUUUUUCAUUCUAGCCAACACCUGCAGGAAGAUAGGUAGGGUCCUUGUCUCCUAGUCUCUGUGGGAGGGUAGGAACUGAACUCUGCUAAGACAGGUUCAUAUGGACCAACCCUACCCUUUCUUUCUGUAAUUUUUCAUUUCCCUGACUUCUGAGCUCCUGCUUGCCCUCCUCCCUACUCCCCCUUUCUCCCUUGAGAUCACCCACUCACCUCUGGACACACAAGUGUCCACUUCCCUAUUGCAGUGGCAUACUAGUGAUGCAAAUCUGUGCUUUCCACUUUAACCAGUAUUCUGCUUUGUUGGUCUUUGAUGGGACCGUCAAUAUUUGUGUAGCGGCCAUUCCCUCUUCCCCUGUUCACAGAAAGGUGAGAGGCAGAGAGGCCAUGGAAUGUGUUUUGUUUUGUUUAAGUUGCUAACAUCUGCAAGAAAAGGGCCAGGCCACAUAUUAUUCCCCAACUGGAUGGCUGCUGGGCAUGCAGUCUUGCCUGGUGAGAUGGAGAGACUUCAGUGGGAAAGUGACCAUAUAGGACAGCCCGGAAGGUGGGGUGUAAGGGUGAUCACAACACAUAAGGGCAGAAAAUACCCUACACUCCUACUCUUGUCCACAGGCUCAAGUUGGGCCAGCAGAAGUAGAUGAGGCUGGAACAGAGGGGAAGGAGAGGUGGACUUCCAAUGCAAUUGUGGGGGGCUGGUGGGGGUGGGGAGCGGCUAGCAUAACCAUUCUCACAAGGGACCCCCAGGUUAAGGGAGCUGUUGCCGUGGUUUUCAUCAGCAGAAGCCGCUAGGGGCCACCGCCUUUUCACCCCAAACCCGCAGACCCUAAUCUGCAGGUCAGUGAAAACGAUGUCAAGGGAAAAGAGACCAAAACUACACCACAGCCAUUCACACAAAGGGUCUUCGGUGCCCGUGUCCCUUUACUCUAAAGCCAAGAGGCUGUGUGCAUAGAAAGGGGAGGGGCGGGUGAGCAAGAAGGCCAUGCCCCCCACCCCCCCCAAUCUUACAGGUGAAAAUCAAGGCUUUGCUUGGGGGUGGGGAGGUUGGUGGGAUCUGACUUGACUAUGAAAUAGACAUUUGAAUUGUUUCAAGUCUUUACAACUGGAGUGAAAGCUUUAAUGAUGGAAGGCACCUGGAACGUUCAGGAAUCAGGCUGGGCUUCCACGGGGGAGCCUGCCCCCUAGCCGGCAGGGUGGAUUAGAAUUGACAGCUACUCAGAAGGAUUUCCCCCCACCCCCCCCGGGGCUCUUAUGGCCUCAUUUUACAACUGGGGAAUCUGUGGCUCUGAGGGUUAAGUAACUCAGAUCAGGUCACAACUACCAGUGGCAGUGCUGAGACUGGAGCCCAGAUACACCAGCCGCCAAGCCCUGGAAGAUGGAAGCCUGUCUCGCAGCAGCCCCUGUCUGUGUUGAGAGGAAACGUUGUUCACAGCCCCGGGCUUACAGAAAUCACCCGACAGGAACUGGCCAGAGCAGAGGUUCCCAGUCUGUAUCCCAGGGAAGGCAAACAGACCACAGGUAUGGCACACAACAUUAAUCCACCAGUAAGGAGGAGGCUCGAGGGACUGUGGGCUUCAGGACCAGUAGCAUCUCCUGCAGCUCUUUGGGUGGUAGCCUGAACUGAUGAAGUUUGGCUUCCUCUCCGCCAUCCUGUGUCGACCACUGACGACUGCAGAGACGUACCCAUGGAGAUGCAGAAGGAAACACUGCCUAGGCACUCCAGAAAUUCAACCCCAAGUGAUCUGAAAGUGCCAAAAUGAGGGGAUGGUCUUAAUCUACAGAGUUCCAAAGCAACCAGAAGAUCCUCUCAAGUCAUCCAAAAAACAGCUCAUUGAGGAUGAAAUGCUUUUGUUUCAAUGACCUGCUCUGAUAAGUCUGCUGAAUGUCCAGCUUUGUGACCACCAACCCAACCACACAAAUAGCUUCACAAGAGCAGAAGGUGGUUAAUACUUACAUGGAAGAAAGGCUUGAUCAUUUUGCAAGGCCCACACCACGUGGCUGAGAAAUCGACCACUACGAGUUUCUCUCCUGCACUGUUCAAGGCUUCCUGAAAAGCGUACUAAGAAGGGAAAGGAGAAAAAAGCAUGUGUUAAAUUUAUUUCCAAAAGCCUUGAUAAAAUGUGACACAACACACAAUUUGGAGGUCCUGCUUUCAGAGCUUAUUUUUUAAUUAAAAAGUGAUAACAAAGAAAAUAAACUGUUUCGAAAAAAU
Molecule: non-coding RNA, 6384 nt
Organism: Sus scrofa (pig)
Lineage: Eukaryota; Metazoa; Chordata; Mammalia; Artiodactyla; Suidae
Source: RefSeq, a predicted model, not a curated record